This 253-nucleotide ribosomal RNA is filed under the name uncultured bacterium. RNAcentral describes it as "partial 16S ribosomal RNA". It matches the Rfam family "Archaeal small subunit ribosomal RNA", at positions 474 to 727 of the family's 1478-position model. The record is from RNAcentral.
UACCAGCACCCCGAGUGGUCGGGACGAUUAUUGGGCCUAAAGCAUCCGUAGCCGGUUCUACAAGUCUUCCGUUAAAUCCACCUGCUUAUCAGAUGGGCUGCGGAGGAUACUAUAGAGCUAGGAGGCGGGAGAGGCAAGCGGUACUUAGUGGGUAGGGGUAAAAUCCGUUGAUCCAUUGAAGACCACCAGUGGCGAAGGCGGCUUGCCAGAACGCACUCGACGGUGAGGGAUGAAAGCUGGGGGAGCAAACCGG